Molecule: ribosomal RNA, 253 nt
Filed under: uncultured bacterium
Lineage: Bacteria
Description: partial 16S ribosomal RNA
Rfam family: Bacterial small subunit ribosomal RNA
Source: RNAcentral
UACGUAGGGUGCGAGCGUUGUCCGGAAUUAUUGGGCGUAAAGGGCUCGUAGGCGGUCUGUUGCGUCGGGAGUGAAAACUCAGGGCUUAACCCUGAGCCUGCUUCCGAUACGGGCAGACUAGAGGUAUGCAGGGGAGAACGGAAUUCCUGGUGUAGCGGUGAAAUGCGCAGAUAUCAGGAAGAACACCCGUGGCGAAGGCGGUUCUCUGGGACGGUACUGACGCUGAGACGCGAAAGCGUGGGGAGCGAACAGG